AUGCCGCGUGAGUGAAGAAGGCCUUUGGGUUGUAAAGCUCUUUCGUCGGGGAAGAAAAUGACUGUACCCGAAUAAGAAGGUCCGGCUAACUUCGUGCCAGCAGCCGCGGUAAUACGAAGGGACCUAGCGUAGUUCGGAAUUACUGGGCUUAAAGAGUUCGUAGGUGGUUGAAAAAGUUAGUGGUGAAAUCCCAGAGCUUAACUCUGGAACUGCCAUUAAAACUUUUCAGCUAGAGUAUGAUAGAGGAAAGCAGAAUUUCUAGUGUAGAGGUGAAAUUCGUAGAUAUUAGAAAGAAUACCAAUUGCGAAGGCAGCUUUCUGGAUCAUUACUGACACUGAGGAACGAAAGCAUGGGUAGCGAAGAGGAUUAGAUACCCUCGUAGUCCAUGCCGUAAACGAUGUGUGUUAGACGUUGGAAAUUUAUUUUCAGUGUCGCAGCGAAAGCGAUAAACACACCGCCUGGGGAGUACGACCGCAAGGUUAAAACUCAAAUGAAUUGACGGGGACCCGCACAAGUAGUGGAGCAUGUGGUUUAAUUCGAAGAUACGCGCAGAACCUUACCAACACUUGACAUGUUCGUCGCGACUCUAAGAGAUUAGAGUUUUCGGUUCGGCCGGACGAAACACAGGUGCUGCAUGGCUGUCGUCAGCUCGUGUCGUGAGAUGUUGGGUUAAGUCCCGCAACGAGCGCAACCCUCACUUUUAGUUGCCAUCAUUAAGUUGGGCACUCUGAAAGAACUGCCAGUGAUAAGCUGGAGGAAGGUGGGGAUGACGUCAAGUCCUCAUGGCCCUUACGUGUUGGGCU
RNAcentral lists this ribosomal RNA (803 nucleotides) under uncultured Alphaproteobacteria bacterium. Its description in RNAcentral is "bacterial SSU rRNA". It matches the Rfam family "Bacterial small subunit ribosomal RNA", at positions 394 to 1215 of the family's 1533-position model. The record is from RNAcentral. Lineage: Bacteria; Pseudomonadati; Pseudomonadota; Alphaproteobacteria.